RNAcentral lists this ribosomal RNA (429 nucleotides) under Chloroflexota bacterium. RNAcentral describes it as "Chloroflexi bacterium partial 16S ribosomal RNA". It matches the Rfam family "Bacterial small subunit ribosomal RNA", at positions 355 to 776 of the family's 1533-position model. Lineage: Bacteria; Bacillati; Chloroflexota. The record is from RNAcentral. RNAcentral also lists the same sequence under 1 other name.
UAGGGAAUCUUCGGCAAUUGACGAAAGUCUGACCGAGCAACGCCGCGUGAGUGAAGAAGGUUUUCGGAUCGUAAAACUCUGUUGUUAGAGAAGAACAAGGACGUUAGUAACUGAACGUCCCCUGACGGUAUCUAACCAGAAAGCCACGGCUAACUACGUGCCAGCAGCCGCGGUAAUACGUAGGUGGCAAGCGUUGUCCGGAUUUAUUGGGCGUAAAGCGAGCGCAGGCGGUUUCUUAAGUCUGAUGUGAAAGCCCCCGGCUCAACCGGGGAGGGUCAUUGGAAACUGGGAGACUUGAGUGCAGAAGAGGAGAGUGGAAUUCCAUGUGUAGCGGUGAAAUGCGUAGAUAUAUGGAGGAACACCAGUGGCGAAGGCGGCUCUCUGGUCUGUAACUGACGCUGAGGCUCGAAAGCGUGGGGAGCAAACAGG